CAAUAGCGUAUAUUAAUGUUGUUGCAGUUAAAAAGCUCGUAGUUGGAUUUCUGAUGGGAGCCCUGGUCACUCUAACGAGUGUACUGAUGUGGCGUCCUGUCGUUUCAUGGGGAUGCUUGCUGGUAUUAAGUUAUCGGCUUGUGGAUCCAUGUCGUUUACUGUGAAAAAAUUAGAGUGUUCAAAGCAGGCCAUCGCUGUGAAUACAUUAGCAUGGAAUAAUAAGAUAGGACUGUGGUGCUAUUUUGUUGGUUUGCGUACUACGGUAAUGAUUAAUAGGGAUAGUUGGGGGUAUUCAUAUUCAAUUGUCAGAGGUGAAAUUCUUGGAUUUAUGGAAGAUGAACUACUGCGAAAGCAUUUACCAAGGAUGUUUNCAUUAA
This 377-nucleotide ribosomal RNA is filed under the name uncultured eukaryote. Its description in RNAcentral is "partial 18S ribosomal RNA". It matches the Rfam family "Eukaryotic small subunit ribosomal RNA", at positions 592 to 976 of the family's 1831-position model. The record is from RNAcentral.